CUGUGGAAUGUCUGGUGAUACUGUUUAACUUGGGUACAGAGAGGAGGGUGGAACUCACAGAGUAGCGGUGGAAUGCGUAGAUACUGUGAGGUACCCCGAUGGCGAAGGCAACCCUCUGGCCUGUUACCGACGCUGAAGCGCGAAAGCGUGGGGAGCGAAGGGGAUUAGAUACCCCCGUAGUCCACGCCGCAAACGAUGUUCACUGGGUGUCGGUCAUUAAUUAGAUCGGUGCCGGAGCUAACGCAUUAAGUGAACCGCCUGGGGACUACGGCCGCAAGGCUAAAACUCAAGAGAAUUGACGGGGCCCUGCACAAGCGGUGGAGCACGUGGUUUAAUUCGAUGAUAAGCGAAGAACCUUACCUGGGCUUGACAUACUAGCAGUAGGAGCCAGAGAUGGUAACGACCCCUACUUUUGGUAGGGGAACUAGUACAGGUGAUGCAUGGCUGUCGUCAGCUCGUGUCGUGGGACGUUGGGUUAAGUCCCGAAACGAGCGCAACCCCUGUUGUUAGUUGCCAGCGGGUAAUGCCGGGGACUCUAACAAGACUGCUGGUGAAUAGCCGGAGGAAGGAGGGGAUGACGUCAAGUCAUCAUGUCCCUUAUGUCCAGGGCGACACACAUGCUACAAUGGGAGGUACAAAGGGCUGCUAAACCGUAAGGUCAUGCGAAUCCCAGAAAGCCUUCCUUAGUUCGGAUUGAGGUCUGCAACCCGACCUCAUGAAGUCGGAACGCUAGUAUGCAG
This 740-nucleotide ribosomal RNA is filed under the name uncultured bacterium. Its description in RNAcentral is "bacterial SSU rRNA". It matches the Rfam family "Bacterial small subunit ribosomal RNA", at positions 613 to 1345 of the family's 1533-position model. The record is from RNAcentral.